AGACCCGAAACCCGGUGAUCUAGCCAUGGGCAGGUUGAAGGUUGGGUAACACUAACUGGAGGACCGAACCGACUAAUGUUGAAAAAUUAGCGGAUGACCUGUGGCUGGGGGUGAAAGGCCAAUCAAACCGGGAGAUAGCUGGUUCUCCCCGAAAGCUAUUUAGGUAGCGCCUCGUGAAUUCAUCUCCGGGGGUAGAGCACUGUUUCGGCUAGGGGGCCAUCCCGGCUUACCAACCCGAUGCAAACUGCGAAUACCGGAGAAUGUUAUCACGGGAGACACACGGCGGGUGCUAACGUCCGUCGUGAAGAGGGAAACAACCCAGACCGCCAGCUAAGGUCCCAAAGUCAUGGUUAAGUGGGAAACGAUGUGGGAAGGCCCAGACAGCCAGGAUGUUGGCUUAGAAGCAGCCAUCAUUUAAAGAAAGCGUAAUAGCUCACUGGUCGAGUCGGCCUGCGCGGAAGAUGUAACGGGGCUAAACCAUGCACCGAAGCUGCGGCAGCGACGCUGAUGCGUUGUUGGGUAGGGGAGCGUUCUGUAAGCCGUUGAAGGUGGCCUGUGAGGGUUGCUGGAGGUAUCAGAAGUGCGAAUGCUGACAUAAGUAACGAUAAAGCGGGUGAAAAGCCCGCUCGCCGGAAGACCAAGGGUUCCUGUCCAACGUUAAUCGGGGCAGGGUGAGUCGACCCCUAAGGCGAGGCCGAAAGGCGUAGUCGAUGGGAAACGGGUUAAUAUUCCCGUACUUGGUGUUACUGCGAAGGGGGGACGGAGAAGGCUAUGUUGGCCGGGCGACGGUUGUCCCGGUUUAAGCGUGUAGGUGUGUGUUCCAGGUAAAUCCGGUUCACUUUAACACUGAGGCGUGACGACGAGGCACUACGGUGCUGAAGCAACAAAUGCCCUGCUUCCAGGAAAA
Molecule: ribosomal RNA, 907 nt
Filed under: Salmonella enterica
Lineage: Bacteria; Pseudomonadati; Pseudomonadota; Gammaproteobacteria; Enterobacterales; Enterobacteriaceae
Also listed under: 1 other name
Description: partial 23S ribosomal RNA
Rfam family: Bacterial large subunit ribosomal RNA
Source: RNAcentral